GAUGAACGCUGGCGGCGUGCCUAAUACAUGCAAGUCGAGCGAACGGACGAGAAGCUUGCUUCUCUGAUGUUAGCGGCGGACGGGUGAGUAACACGUGGAUCACCUACCUAUAAGACUGGGAUAACUUCGGGAAACCGGAUCUAAUACCGGAUAAUAUUUUGAACCGCAUGGUUCAAAAGUGAAAGACGGUCUUGCUGUCACUUAUAGAUGGAUCCGCGCUGCAUUAGCUAGUUGGUAAGGUAACGGCUUACCAAGGCAACGAUGCAUAGCCGACCUGAGAGGGUGAUCAGCCACACUGGAACUGAGACACGGUCCAGACUCCUACGGGAGGCAGCAGUGGGGAAUCUGCGACAAUGGGCGAAAGCCUGACGAAGCAAGGCCGCGUGAGUGAAGAAGGUCUUCGGGUCGUAAAACUCUGUUAUUGGGAAAGAAAAGCAGUGGAAGGAACCGUGCACGUCCUGACGGUACCUAAUGAGAAAGCAACGGCUAACUACGUG
This 497-nucleotide ribosomal RNA is filed under the name uncultured bacterium. RNAcentral describes it as "partial 16S ribosomal RNA". It matches the Rfam family "Bacterial small subunit ribosomal RNA", at positions 28 to 507 of the family's 1533-position model. The record is from RNAcentral.